CCAGACUCCUACGGGAGGCAGCAGUGGGGAAUAUUGGACAAUGGACCGAGAGUCUGAUCCAGCAAUUCUGUGUGCACGAUGAAGUUUUUCGGAAUGUAAAGUGCUUUCAGUUGGGAAGAAAAAAAUGACGGUACCAACAGAAGAAGUGACGGCUAAAUACGUGCCAGCAGCCGCGGUAAUACGUAUGUCACAAGCGUUAUCCGGAUUUAUUGGGCGUAAAGCGCGUCUAGGUGGUUAUGUAAGUCUGAUGUGAAAAUGCAGGGCUCAACUCUGUAUUGCGUUGGAAACUGUGUAACUAGAGUACUGGAGAGGUAAGCGGAACUACAAGUGUAGAGAUGAAAUUCGUAGAUAUUUGUAGGAAUGCCGAUGGGGAAGCCAGCUUACUGGACAGAUACUGACGCUGAAGCGCGAAAGCGUGGGUAGCAAACAGGAUUAGAUACCCUGGUAGUCCACGCCGUAAACGAUGAUUACUAGGUGUUGGGGGUCGAACCUCAGCGCCCAAGCAAACGCGAUAAGUAAUCCGCCUGGGGAGUACGUACGCAAGUAUGAAACUCAAAGGAAUUGACGGGGGCCCGCACAAG
This 581-nucleotide ribosomal RNA is filed under the name uncultured bacterium. RNAcentral's name for it is "bacterial SSU rRNA". It matches the Rfam family "Bacterial small subunit ribosomal RNA", at positions 331 to 929 of the family's 1533-position model. The record is from RNAcentral.